RNAcentral lists this ribosomal RNA (523 nucleotides) under Bacillus licheniformis. Its description in RNAcentral is "bacterial SSU rRNA". It matches the Rfam family "Bacterial small subunit ribosomal RNA", at positions 127 to 636 of the family's 1533-position model. The record is from RNAcentral. Lineage: Bacteria; Bacillati; Bacillota; Bacilli; Caryophanales; Bacillaceae.
UGCCUGUAAGACUGGGAUAACUCCGGGAAACCGGAGCUAAUACCGGAUAACAUUUUCUCUUGCAUAAGAGAAAAUUGAAAGAUGGUUUCGGCUAUCACUUACAGAUGGGCCCGCGGUGCAUUAGCUAGUUGGUGAGGUAACGGCUCACCAAGGCAACGAUGCAUAGCCGACCUGAGAGGGUGAUCGGCCACACUGGGACUGAGACACGGCCCACACUCCUACGGGAGGCAGCAGUAGGGAAUCUUCCGCAAUGGACGAAAGUCUGACAGAGCAACGCCGCGUGAGUGAUGAAGGCUUUCGGGUCGUAAAACUCUGUUGUUAGGGAAGAACAAGUACAAGAGUAACUGCUUGUACCUUGACGGUACCUAACCAGAAAGCCACGGCUAACUACGUGCCAGCAGCCGCGGUAAUACGUAUGUGGCAAGCGUUAUCCGGAAUUAUUGGGCGUAAAGCGCGCGCAGGCGGUUUCUUAAGUCUGAUGUGAAAGCCCACGGCUCAACCGUGGAGGGUCAUUGGAAACUGG